This 455-nucleotide ribosomal RNA is filed under the name uncultured bacterium. RNAcentral describes it as "bacterial SSU rRNA". It matches the Rfam family "Bacterial small subunit ribosomal RNA", at positions 339 to 791 of the family's 1533-position model. The record is from RNAcentral.
GUACGGGAGGCAGCAGUAAGGAAUAUUGGACAAUGGGCGCAAGCCUGAUCCAGCCAUGCCGCGUGCAGGAUGAAAGUGCUCUGCACUGUAAACUGCUUUUACUUGGGAAAAAACCCCUGGUUUAUACCGGGGCUGAUUGUACCGAGAGAAUAAGGGACGGCUAACUUCGUGCCAGCAGCCGCGGUAAUACGAAGGUCCCAAGCGUUAUCCGGAUUUAUUGGGUUUAAAGGGUGCGUAGGCGGGCUAUUAAGUCAGUGGUGAAAGCCCCAAGCUUAACUUGGGAACUGCCAUUGAUACUGAUGGUCUUGAGUACAUUUGAGGUGGGCGGAAUGUGUCAUGUAGCGGUGAAAUGCUUAGAUAUGACACAGAACACCGAUUGCGAAGGCAGCUCACUAAACUGUAACUGACGCUGAGGCACGAAAGCGUGGGGAGCAAACAGGAUUAGAUACCCCGGU